Molecule: long non-coding RNA, 518 nt
Filed under: Monodelphis domestica (gray short-tailed opossum)
Lineage: Eukaryota; Metazoa; Chordata; Mammalia; Didelphimorphia; Didelphidae
Description: lncRNA (ENSMODG00000046059.1)
Source: RNAcentral
AGGCAGGCUGUGGCCUAUCCAAGGUCACAAUUAUAAUAGAAAUUAGUGUUGAAACUUGAAUCCAGGUCCUUUGAAUUCAGUCAGUGCUCUUAUAUUGUACUAUGUAAAUUUGAACCUUUAUUUUGUUCUAAUGGAUAUAUUAAUAUUACUAUGUAAACUGAUUCAAACCAACAUACUAUUUCCUAUUCCCCUAAUUCAGUAGAAAUUAUCUGGUAGUCAUUGUGGUGUGAUAGAAAGAGCGUGGGACAGAACGUCAAGAGAUUUGGAUUCUGGUUGCUGAUCUUCCAUUUGCCAUGUAUAUGAUUCUACAAGUCUAAAUACAAAGAAUAUUCAACAUCUGAGAAGUGAUGUUUGCAAUAUCACCAAAACAGUAUUCUCAGACGAUACGGGCUGGUCAUAUAGAAUGAUCAAGACAGAACAGAUGGACAACCCAAGUACUAUCUGGAACCUAAAUGUUAAAAGACCAAGAGGAAGGUAAAGACCAACAAGAGAUAGAAAAGAAACUAAUAAGAAUUUUC